Long non-coding RNA from Oncorhynchus tshawytscha (Chinook salmon), 625 nucleotides. The record is from Ensembl. Lineage: Eukaryota; Metazoa; Chordata; Actinopteri; Salmoniformes; Salmonidae.
GAGGUUCUCCAUAGAUACAGAGGGUUAGAGAGGUUCUCCAUAGAUACAGAGGGUUAGAGAGGUUCUCCAUAGAUAGAGGGUUAGAGGUUCUCCAUAGGAUACAGAGGGUUAGAGAGGUUCUCCAUAGAUACAGAGGGUUAGAGAGGUUCUCCAUAGAUACAGAGGGUUAGAGGUUCUCCAUAGAUACAGAGGGUUAGAGGUUCUCCAUAGGAUACAGAGGGUUAGAGAGGUUCUCCAUAGAUACAGAGGGUUAGAGAGGUUCUCCAUAGGAUACAGAGGGUUAGAGGUUCUCCAUAGAUACAGAGGGUUAGAGGUUCUCCAUAGAUACAGAGGGUUAGAGGUUCUCCAUAGAUACAGAGGGUUAGAGAGGUUCUCCAUAGAUACAGAGGGUUAGAGGUUCUCCAUAGGAUACAGAGGGUUAGAGGUUCUCCAUAGAUACAGAGGGUUAGAGAGGUUCUCCAUAGAUACAGAGGGUUAGAGAGGUUCUCCAUAGGAUACAGAGGGUUAGAGAGGUUCUCCAUAGAUACAGAGGGUUAGAGAGGUUCUCCAUAGAUACAGAGGGUUAGAGAGGUUCUCCAUAGAUACAGAGGGUUAGAGGUUCUCCAUAGGAUACAGAGGGUGAGAG